CAAUCUGCCCAAUGAAUAAUUUAAAUGGCUGCAGUAUAUUUAACUGUACAAAGGUAGCAUAAUAAAUUGAUUUUUAAAUGAAAUCUAGAAUGAAAGGAUUAAUGAAAUAUAUACUGUCUCAUAUUUAUUAUAUGAAUUUAAAAUUUUAAUAAAAAUGUUAAAAUUUUUUUAUGGGACGAUAAGACCCUAUAGAAUUUUAUAUUAAAUUAGUUUUAUUUAUUAAUAUGAAAUAUAAUUUAAUAUUUAAUUGGGAGAAUUAUUAAAUUUAUAAAAUUUUAAUUUUUUAUAAACUUUGAUUUAAGAAAAUUUAUUGAUUUAUAAUUUAUAAUUAUUAGAUUAAAUUACCUUAGGGAUAACAGCGUUAUAUUUUUUUAUAGAUCAUAUAGAAAAAAAUGAUUGCGACCUCGAUGUUGAAUUAAGAUAAAUUUUAAAUGCAGAAGUUUAAUAAUUAAGUCUGUUCGACUUUUAAAAUCUUACAU
This 479-nucleotide ribosomal RNA is filed under the name Tetragonisca weyrauchi. RNAcentral describes it as "partial 16S ribosomal RNA". The stretch from base 352 to 479 matches the Rfam family "Bacterial large subunit ribosomal RNA", at positions 2473 to 2601 of the family's 2925-position model. Lineage: Eukaryota; Metazoa; Arthropoda; Insecta; Hymenoptera; Apidae. The record is from RNAcentral.